Molecule: transfer RNA, 91 nt
Filed under: Chloroflexota bacterium
Lineage: Bacteria; Bacillati; Chloroflexota
Description: tRNA-Ser
Rfam family: tRNA
About the family: Transfer RNA (tRNA) molecules are approximately 80 nucleotides in length. Their secondary structure includes four short double-helical elements and three loops (D, anti-codon, and T loops). Further hydrogen bonds mediate the characteristic L-shaped molecular structure. tRNAs have two regions of fundamental functional importance: the anti-codon, which is responsible for specific mRNA codon recognition, and the 3' end, to which the tRNAs corresponding amino acid is attached (by aminoacyl-tRNA synthetases). tRNAs cope with the degeneracy of the genetic code in two manners: having more than one tRNA (with a specific anti-codon) for a particular amino acid; and 'wobble' base-pairing, i.e. permitting non-standard base-pairing at the 3rd anti-codon position.
Source: RNAcentral
GGAGGGGUGCCAGAGUGGACGAUUGGGGCGGUCUCGAAAACCGUUGUGGCCGUUACGGUCACCGUGGGUUCGAAUCCCACCCCCUCCGCCU